This 953-nucleotide non-coding RNA is filed under the name Nannospalax nehringi (Nehring's blind mole rat). RNAcentral describes it as "partial 12S ribosomal RNA". It matches the Rfam family "Bacterial small subunit ribosomal RNA". The record is from RNAcentral. Lineage: Eukaryota; Metazoa; Chordata; Mammalia; Rodentia; Spalacidae.
AGGUUUGGUCCUGGCCUUAUUAUUAGUUAUAGGUAGACUUACACAUGCUAGACUCCACGCACCAGUGCAGAAUCCCACGAAAUCAAUAACUAAGUGAUCUAAAGGAGAUGGUAUCAAGCACACACAAGUAGCUAAAGACACCUUGCUAAGCCACACCCCCACGGGAAACAGCAGUGAUAAAAAUUAAGCAAUGAACGAAAGUUUGACUUAGUCAUACCAAUAAGGGUUGGUCAAUCUCGUGCCAGCCACCGCGGUCAUACGAUUGACCCAAACUAAUAAUUACCCGGCGUAAAGCGUGUAUACAGAAUGAAAUUAAUAGGAUAGAAAGUUAUCAACAAUGUAAAAAUUUCAUGAUAUAAGUAAUCACAAUAACGAAAGUAAUCCUAAUUACCUUGACUACACGAUAGCUAAGACACAAACUGGGAUUAGAUACCCCACUAUGCUUAGCCCUAAACAUAAAUAAUUAAAAACAAAAUUAUUCGCCAGAGAACUACUAGCCACAGCUUAAAACUCAAAGGACUUGGCGGUACUUUAUACCUGCCUAGAGGAGCUUGUUCUAUAAUCGAUAAACCCCGUUACACCUCACCACCCCUUGCUAAUUCAGCCUAUAUACCGCCAUCUUCAGCAAACCCUGUCAAGGAAUAACAGUGAGCUCAAUGAUUAAUCGUAAAUACGUUAGGUCAAGGUGUAGCCAAUGAGGUGGAAAGUAAUGAGCUACAUUUUCUACACAAGAAAAUUACGGAACCCUUCAUGAAAUCGGAGGGGUGAAGGAGGAUUUAGCAGUAAAUUAAGAAUAGAGAGCUUAAUUGAACUUAGCAAUGAAGUACGCACACACCGCCCGUCACUCUCCUCAAGUACCAAAAAUUGAAACAUUCUUUUAUAAACCAAUAAUAAAUAUUAGAGGAGACAAGUCGUAACAAGGUAAGCAUACUGGAAAGUGUGCUUGGCAAAAC